RNAcentral lists this ribosomal RNA (1329 nucleotides) under Burkholderia cenocepacia. RNAcentral's name for it is "partial 23S ribosomal RNA". It matches the Rfam family "Bacterial large subunit ribosomal RNA", at positions 173 to 1550 of the family's 2925-position model. Lineage: Bacteria; Pseudomonadati; Pseudomonadota; Betaproteobacteria; Burkholderiales; Burkholderiaceae. The record is from RNAcentral.
AGUGAAGCGAACGCGGUGAACUGAAACAUCUAAGUAACCGCAGGAAAAGAAAUCAACCGAGAUUCCCAAAGUAGUGGCGAGCGAAAUGGGAUGAGCCUUGCACUCUUUAUUUGUAUUGUUAGCCGAACGCUCUGGAAAGUGCGGCCAUAGCAGGUGAUAGCCCUGUAGGCGAAAACAGUAUGAAAGAACUAGGUGUGCGACAAGUAGGGCGGGACACGUGAAAUCCUGUCUGAAGAUGGGGGGACCAUCCUCCAAGGCUAAAUACUCGUGAUCGACCGAUAGUGAACCAGUACCGUGAGGGAAAGGCGAAAAGAACCCCGGGAGGGGAGUGAAAUAGAUCCUGAAACCGCAUGCAUACAAACAGUCGGAGCCUCGCAAGGGGUGACGGCGUACCUUUUGUAUAAUGGGUCAGCGACUUACGUUCAGUAGCAAGCUUAACCGUAUAGGGCAGGCGUAGCGAAAGCGAGUCCGAAUAGGGCGUUCAGUUGCUGGGCGUAGACCCGAAACCAGGUGAUCUAUCCAUGGCCAGGAUGAAGGUGCGGUAACACGUACUGGAGGUCCGAACCCACUAACGUUGAAAAGUUAGGGGAUGAGCUGUGGAUAGGGGUGAAAGGCUAAACAAACCUGGAAAUAGCUGGUUCUCUCCGAAAACUAUUUAGGUAGUGCCUCGUGUCUCACCUUCGGGGGUAGAGCACUGUCAUGGUUGGGGGGUCUAUUGCAGAUUACCCCGCCAUAGCAAACUCCGAAUACCGAAGAGUGCAAUCACGGGAGACAGACAUCGGGUGCUAACGUCCGGUGUCAAGAGGGAAACAACCCAGACCGCCAGCUAAGGUCCCCAAAUAUAGCUAAGUGGGAAACGAAGUGGGAAGGCUAAAACAGUCAGGAGGUUGGCUUAGAAGCAGCCACCCUUUAAAGAAAGCGUAAUAGCUCACUGAUCGAGUCGUCCUGCGCGGAAGAUGUAACGGGGCUAAGCUAUAUACCGAAGCUGCGGAUGCGAGCUUGCUCGCAUGGUAGGAGAGCGUUCCGUAAGCCUGCGAAGGUGCCUUGUAAAGGGUGCUGGAGGUAUCGGAAGUGCGAAUGCUGACAUGAGUAGCGAUAAAGGGGGUGAAAGGCCCCCUCGCCGUAAGCCCAAGGUUUCCUACGCAACGUUCAUCGGCGUAGGGUGAGUCGGCCCCUAAGGCGAGGCAGAAAUGCGUAGCUGAUGGGAAGCAGGUCAAUAUUCCUGCACCAUUGUUAGAUGCGAUGGGGGGACGGAUCGCGGAAGGUUGUCCGGGUGUUGGAAGUCCCGGUCGCUGCAUUGGAGAAGGCGCUUAGGCAAAUCCGGGCGCG